GGGAGCCCAGGGUGGUUCCUGCCCUGCCCGGCCCCGCUGGAGAACCCCGUGGGGAUUUCUGGCUCACCCCCAAGGGCUUUGAGACCCUCGGCGCUUCUUCCCUCCUCUCUGCAGCCCUGGACCCCGGCGCUUUCAGGAUCCUGGGUCUGGACCCUGCUGGUGCCCGGCAGACCCAGCACCCAGCUGUGGCUGCGUGAGCGCUGGUGGCGGUGGGGACAGUGACGGUGACAUCCCUCCCAGCAGUGUCCCGGGAUGGCCGAGCUGUCAGGACGUGCUGCUGGGUGUGCCCGGGGUGACAGCCCUGCUCCAGGGGAAGAGCAGCACUCCUGGGCUCAGCUCCUGCCCUCCCAGCCUAGCCCCGGGCACUGGAGCAGCUCCAGCUCCAUCUGCACCGAGGACUUUGCUGCCAGGUUCUGGGAGGGAAUGGUGGAGCCGCUGCUGUGCCAGCAGGAGCCUGCUGGGCAUGUCCCCACGGAAGGAGCUCAUCCUGGGCAGGAUGAGUCCCUGUUCCCCACAGGGAGAAGCCCGGACAGACGGCCCUGGCAGGACAGAUCUCCAUCCUGGAGCAGGAGGGAGAGCCUGGAGUCCCUGGGAGCGAGGAUCUCCCGCCGGAGCCAGAGCCAUGAGGGGGUGGCCUGGGGGGUCCCCUGGGCAGCCCCCUCUGCCCAGCCAGCCCUGGGCUGCAGGGACCCUCCCCGUGGGCACCUGGUGGCCACGGCCUUGCCUGGGCAUUCCUGGAGAGCUGCAGGGGUCUCUGCUGGCAGGAGCAGGGCUGGGACAAGGACAGGCAGCAGUUUGCCCAGGACCAGCAGUGCCAGAACCGGGGGCCAUCCCACCCUGGGCGUGAGGCGACAGGAGCCACCAGCUCCCUGGGGACGUGGAGGGAGUGUCACCUUGGCUAUGGAUGGCACGGACAGGGAAGGAGCAGACAGCAGGAGUGAGUCUGACUGGCCCUGGGGCACUGGGAGGGGCUGGAGGAGGGUGCAGGGCUGGGACAAGCAGGGGAA
Long non-coding RNA from Ficedula albicollis (Collared flycatcher), 1007 nucleotides. RefSeq lists it as uncharacterized. The record is from RefSeq and is a predicted model, not a curated record. The transcript has 3 exons. Lineage: Eukaryota; Metazoa; Chordata; Aves; Passeriformes; Muscicapidae.